RNAcentral lists this ribosomal RNA (1372 nucleotides) under uncultured bacterium. Its description in RNAcentral is "bacterial SSU rRNA". It matches the Rfam family "Bacterial small subunit ribosomal RNA", at positions 28 to 1381 of the family's 1533-position model. The record is from RNAcentral.
GAUGAACGCUGGCGGCGUGCCUAAUACAUGCAAGUCGAGCGAACGGACGAGAAGCUUGCUUCUCUGAUGUUAGCGGCGGACGGGUGAGUAACACGUGGAUAACCUACCUAUAAGACUGGGAUAACUUCGGGAAACCGGAGCUAAUACCGGAUAAUAUUUUGAACCGCAUGGUUCAAAAGUGAAAGACGGUCUUGCUGUCACUUAUAGAUGGAUCCGCGCUGCAUUAGCUAGUUGGUAAGGUAACGGCUUACCAAGGCAACGAUGCGUAGCCGACCUGAGAGGGUGAUCGGCCACACUGGAACUGAGACACGGUCCAGACUCCUACGGGAGGCAGCAGUAGGGAAUCUUCCGCAAUGGGCGAAAGCCUGACGGAGCAACGCCGCGUGAGUGAUGAAGGUCUUCGGAUCGUAAAACUCUGUUAUUAGGGAAGAACAUAUGUGUAAGUAACUGUGCACAUCUUGACGGUACCUAAUCAGAAAGCCACGGCUAACUACGUGCCAGCAGCCGCGGUAAUACGUAGGUGGCAAGCGUUAUCCGGAAUUAUUGGGCGUAAAGCGCGCGUAGGCGGUUUUUUAAGUCUGAUGUGAAAGCCCACGGCUCAACCGUGGAGGGUCAUUGGAAACUGGAAAACUUGAGUGCAGAAGAGGAAAGUGGAAUUCCAUGUGUAGCGGUGAAAUGCGCAGAGAUAUGGAGGAACACCAGUGGCGAAGGCGACUUUCUGGUCUGUAACUGACGCUGAUGUGCGAAAGCGUGGGGAUCAAACAGGAUUAGAUACCCUGGUAGUCCACGCCGUAAACGAUGAGUGCUAAGUGUUAGGGGGUUUCCGCCCCUUAGUGCUGCAGCUAACGCAUUAAGCACUCCGCCUGGGGAGUACGACCGCAAGGUUGAAACUCAAAGGAAUUGACGGGGACCCGCACAAGCGGUGGAGCAUGUGGUUUAAUUCGAAGCAACGCGAAGAACCUUACCAAAUCUUGACAUCCUUUGACAACUCUAGAGAUAGAGCCUUCCCCUUCGGGGGACAAAGUGACAGGUGGUGCAUGGUUGUCGUCAGCUCGUGUCGUGAGAUGUUGGGUUAAGUCCCGCAACGAGCGCAACCCUUAAGCUUAGUUGCCAUCAUUAAGUUGGGCACUCUAAGUUGACUGCCGGUGACAAACCGGAGGAAGGUGGGGAUGACGUCAAAUCAUCAUGCCCCUUAUGAUUUGGGCUACACACGUGCUACAAUGGACAAUACAAAGGGCAGCGAAACCGCGAGGUCAAGCAAAUCCCAUAAAGUUGUUCUCAGUUCGGAUUGUAGUCAGCAACUCGACUACAUGAAGCUGGAAUCGCUAGUAAUCGUAGAUCAGCAUGCUACGGUGAAUACGUUCCCGGGUCU